CUUGGUCAUUUAGAGGAAGUAAAAGUCGUAACAAGGUUUCCGUAGGUGAACCUGCGGAAGGAUCAUUACAAGUGAGGCUACCGAACGUUGGAAACAGCGGUUAGGAGCUUACACCCACCCGUGUUUACAUACUAUUGUUGCUUUGGCGGGCCGUGGCCUCCACUGCGGGCUCUGCUCGUGUGUGCCCGCCAGAGAACCAAACUCUGAAUGUUAGUGAUGUCUGAGUACUAUCUAAUAGUUAAAACUUUCAACAACGGAUCUCUUGGUUCUGGCAUCGAUGAAGAACGCAGCGAAAUGCGAUAAGUAAUGUGAAUUGCAGAAUUCAGUGAAUCAUCGAAUCUUUGAACGCACAUUGCGCCCUGUGGUAUUCCGCAGGGCAUGCCUGUUCGAGCGUCAUUUAACCACUCACGCCUAGCGUGGUAUUGGGGCACGCGGUCUCCGCGGCCCUCAAAAUCAGUGGCGGCGCCGGUGGGCUCUAAGCGUAGUACAUACUCCCGCUAUAGAGUUCCCCCCGGUGGCUCGCCAGAACCCCCAAUUUUUUACAGGUUGACCUCGGAUCAGGUAGGGAUACCCGCUGAACUUAAGCAUAUCAAUAAGCGGAGGA
This 604-nucleotide ribosomal RNA is filed under the name uncultured Phialocephala. Its description in RNAcentral is "eukaryotic LSU rRNA". The stretch from base 243 to 396 matches the Rfam family "5.8S ribosomal RNA". The record is from RNAcentral. Lineage: Eukaryota; Fungi; Ascomycota; Leotiomycetes; Helotiales.